ACGCCUGGCGUCCCCUCAGGCUAGCACAUGCAAGUCGAACGGUAACAGGNCGCAGCUGGCUGCUGCGCGGGAGUGGCGGACGGGUGAUAAUGUCUGGGAAACUGCCUGAUGGAGGGGGAUAACUACUGGAAACGUAGCUAAUACCGCAUAACGUCGCAAGACCAAAGAGGGGGACCUUCGGGCCUCUUGCCAUCGGAUGUGCCCGGAUGGGAUUAGCUAGUAGGUGGGGUAACGGCUCACCUAGGCGACGAUCCCUAGCUGGUCUGAAGGAUGACCAUCCACACUGGAACUGAGACGGCCAGACUCCUACGGGAGGCAUCAGUGGGGAAUAUUGCACAAUGGGCGCAAGCCUGAUGCAGCCAUGCCGCAUGUAUGAAGAAGGCCUUCGGGUUGUAAAACUUUCAGCGGGGAGGAAGGCGAUAAGGNUAAUAACCUUGUCGAUUGACGUUACCCCCCCGCAGACGCGCCGACUAACACCGAGCCAGCAGCCGCGGUAAUACGAGAGGGGUACACGAGUAAAAUCGAUAAUAACUGGGCGUAAAUCGCACUCGGCGGUCUGCCAUACUCGGUCUGAACUGCCCCUUGCUCGACUGGGGAACUGCUUUCGNCACUUGGCCGCAAGAUCCUGGUAACGGCUUGUAUUUCCGUUGUAGCUCUAAAAUCGUUCAUAUCUGGGAAGGAAUACCGGUGGGCAAGGUGGCCCCUACCCAGACAGACGUCGGGGCGAACUGGGGGAGCAAACAUGAUCAGACAACCNGGUGUAUUUCNCCCCCUUCGAUCUAUGAAGUUGUGUCCCUGAUGCGUAGCUGUCG
RNAcentral lists this ribosomal RNA (812 nucleotides) under Enterobacter sp. RNAcentral describes it as "bacterial SSU rRNA". It matches the Rfam family "Bacterial small subunit ribosomal RNA", at positions 26 to 837 of the family's 1533-position model. The record is from RNAcentral. Lineage: Bacteria; Pseudomonadati; Pseudomonadota; Gammaproteobacteria; Enterobacterales; Enterobacteriaceae.